GGGUUGUGAGGUUAAGCGACUAAGCGUACACGGUGGAUGCCCUGGCAGUCAGAGGCGAUGAAGGACGUGCUAAUCUGCGAUAAGCGUCGGUAAGGUGAUAUGAACCGUUAUAACCGGCGAUUUCCGAAUGGGGAAACCCAGUGUGAUUCGUCACACUAUCAUUAACUGAAUCCAUAGGUUAAUGAGGCGAACCGGGGGAACUGAAACAUCUAAGUACCCCGAGGAAAAGAAAUCAACCGAGAUUCCCCCAGUAGCGGCGAGCGAACGGGGAGCAGCCCAGAGCCUGAAUCAGUGUGUGUGUUAGUGGAAGCGUCUGGAAAGGCGUGCGAUACAGGGUGACAGCCCCGUACACAAAAAUGCACAUACUGUGAGCUCGAUGAGUAGGGCGGGACACGUGGUAUCCUGUCUGAAUAUGGGGGGACCAUCCUCCAAGGCUAAAUACUCCUGACUGACCGAUAGUGAACCAGUACCGUGAGGGAAAGGCGAAAAGAACCCCGGCGAGGGGAGUGAAAAAGAACCUGAAACCGUGUACGUACAAGCAGUGGGAGCACGCUUAGGCGUGUGACUGCGUACCUUUUGUAUAAUGGGUCAGCGACUUAUAUUCUGUAGCAAGGUUAACCGAAUAGGGGAGCCGAAGGGAAACCGAGUCUUAACUGGGCGUUAAGUUGCAGGGUAUAGACCCGAAACCCGGUGAUCUAGCCAUGGGCAGGUUGAAGGUUGGGUAACACUAACUGGAGGACCGAACCGACUAAUGUUGAAAAAUUAGCGGAUGACUUGUGGCUGGGGGUGAAAGGCCAAUCAAACCGGGAGAUAGCUGGUUCUCCCCGAAAGCUAUUUAGGUAGCGCCUCGUGAAUUCAUCUCCGGGGGUAGAGCACUGUUUCGGCAAGGGGG
Molecule: ribosomal RNA, 892 nt
Filed under: Shigella flexneri
Lineage: Bacteria; Pseudomonadati; Pseudomonadota; Gammaproteobacteria; Enterobacterales; Enterobacteriaceae
Description: bacterial LSU rRNA
Rfam family: Bacterial large subunit ribosomal RNA
Source: RNAcentral